RNAcentral lists this long non-coding RNA (1292 nucleotides) under Solanum tuberosum (potato). RNAcentral's name for it is "long non-coding RNA (STUB_LNC007868)". The record is from RNAcentral. Lineage: Eukaryota; Viridiplantae; Streptophyta; Magnoliopsida; Solanales; Solanaceae.
UUGCAACUAUGUUGGAGGUAAGUUUCUUCUGUCCCACCAUUCUUUUUCAUCAUCUUUGAACUGAUGUUAUUUCCAUUGCAGGAUGUUGGAAACUCCAGAUCCAGCGUAUGUUGCCGAGUUCCAGCUUAGAUUAGCUCAAUGUUCCAAAAUCAAGGUCUCUUAUAGCUUCUUGUUUCCUUUGCAAUUGUUGCUUUCCUUCUUCAACAAUAAUUGUUUGCUUGAUGUCAUGAAUGUUGAUGUUGCCUCUUUAUUGCUCUAUUCCUUAUCCUCAGAUUUGGGGAUUGAUUUGUUUAUGUGCUUUCUGAUUUUGCUUGGUAACUCUUGAAAACUAUGAUAUUCCAUUGUUGUUUGUGUCUCCAUGACUUUAUUAGCUAGUGUAUCCGCAACCUUGUUUCCUUCCCUGUAAAUGUGAGUGAUUUGAGAACUUAGUUGUUGUAGUUUCUGCCUUAUUUCUUCAAUAAUUUCCAUCAUCUCCCAUGGAACUCUCCAUUGCUGUACAUUUUUAUAGCCAGUGAAUCAAUCUCUAUAAUGACUUGUCGACAGCCAUUUUCAUAGCAGUAGUUCAAUGACUCAUAACUGGCUAGUGCUUCUGCUUCUGUGUUGGUUGUCAUCCCUAUGUCCCUAGCCUUAGCAAACACUAAAUCUCUUGUGUGGUUUCUUAGUCAAAAACUAUAUGAUCCCAUUCCUGGUUUCCUCUACAGGCUCCGUCGGUGUUACAUUUCAGAUUUCCUUCUUCAGGUGGACUUCAUUUUACACUGUGAUAAUGCACCUGAGGUCUGUAAUCUUUCAAUUUGCUUAUAAUGGCAAUCCACUCACUUAUUUUUUAUUUCUGGUCCAUGGGUAUUUAAUCUUCACGAACUUUCUCACCAAGUCCUGAACUUGCUCCACCAUUGUGUUUUAUGUAGUAUUUCCUCCAUACUUUUUGUUGUUCCUUCUCUUCCAAAGUAUCCACAUUAUGAUUGUUGGCAUAGCUUGAUAUAUCACUUUUAGCUUUGGUGAAUCAUCUUGUUUCCACCAAGUGAUAAUAAGUUGUUGAAGGUGCAUUCCAAUAAUGUUUAUACCUGCAAAACUAGCAAACUGCCUCGAUAGCCUAGUGGCUAUAGGGGUUGUUUAAAAAAGAUGCGACAUAGUUUCCUCCUUCUUUGUUUCACAACACCAACAUCCCGAAACAAUUGGAAUGUGCAUUCUUUUGAGGUUGUCAUCUGAAGCUAUUUUCCUAUUCCAUACCAGAAGAAAUUCACCUUAAAAGAAAGUCCUUUACACCAUAUAAACUCAUAGUCUCUUCUGCAUUU